RNAcentral lists this microRNA precursor (103 nucleotides) under Marmota monax (woodchuck). The record is from RNAcentral. Lineage: Eukaryota; Metazoa; Chordata; Mammalia; Rodentia; Sciuridae.
AGUGGGAUAACUGGGUCAAAUGGUGGUUCCAUUCCAACUUUUCUAAGGAAUCUCCAUACUGCUUGGUAGAGUAGUUGUACCAAUUUGCAGCCUCACCAGCAAU